AUGAAAAACACAAGGUGAGAGAGAGAGCUUGAGAGAGCGACCGAGAAAGAAGGGAGAGAGAAGGAAGAGAGAGAAAGAGAAAGUAAUAUCAAAUUAGCAGCGAUCGAGGGUGCAAUCCAAUUUUCCCGAGAAAAAGCGCCAGAAAUUAGCAAAACCCAGAAAGCGAAUGCAGUGAAGCAGAGGAUAGAGGCUUUGUAAGCUCGCAAGAACUCCAACUGUAGCUUGGUUUCUCUGCAGUUCUCAAGCUGGUGAACAAGAGGGGUAAUUAACUGUUCUUACAGUUGGUUCUGGAAAAAAAAGCUUGGUUUUUGGAGAAGUUUGGUGAACUUAGGGUUUUGAUUUAUCAGGAAGUUGAAUUUAAAUUUGGUGAUUUUAAGGGUUUUGGGAUCUUGCGAGCUCUGUACGGAGUCUGAUCUUUAGGGUUUGCAUUGUGUGGUAUGUGGGUUGAUGAAUUUGGGUUCGUUUUGAAGACGAGGAUAACAGUGAUACGGGUUGGAAUUGGGGUUUUGUGGUUUUGAACUGUUCGAUUAUUGUGUGUUUGAUUUGGGAGGUUUUGGGUUUAGGAAGAUGGGAUUGGGUUCUGCAUUGUGUGGUAUGUGGGUAGAGGAAUUUGGGGUCGUUUGGAAGCAGAGUUAAGUGUUUUCAGUUUGGAAUUCAGGUUUCCAGGUUUUGUUUGUGGAUUGUGUAUGAGAAAUGCAACCGCAGCAGAGCUCGCGGAUUGAUGUGGCAGAUUUGAAGGUUCAGAUAGUGAAGAAAAUUGGGGCUGACAGGGCAAGACGGUAUUUUUAUUACCUAAAUAGGUUGUUGAGCCAGAAACUGUGUAAGAGUGAGUUUGAUAAGUUGUGUUCUCGAGUACUUGGGAGAGAGAACGUGUUGCUGCACAAUCAGUUUAUUCGAUCUAUCUUAAAGAAUGCCUUUCAUGCUAAAACCCCACCGCCAUUUCAUGCUAAAACCCCACCGCCAUUUCAUGAUGCGGGGCCCACAAAUUCUGUUGAAGAAGAUGGGCAUGAACAAAGCAGGGCUGUCAUUGCAAAUCCAACUCCAAAUUCGCCAAUUUGGUCGAAUGGAGCUGUUCCAUCGUGGAAGAGUAGGCCUGUUAUCCGUGAUCGGAAGCCUCGGGACCGCCCUAGUCCUCUUGGACCAAAUGGGAAGGUAGAUUAUGGGCCUCAAUGGGCACCUGUAGAAGAUAGUGGUAGUAAAGUUCUUACUGAAAAUGGGGAGUUGACUCCUUGUGAUUACCAGAGGCCAGUGCAGCCACUUCAAGGAGUUGCUGAGCUACCUGAGAAUCAAAGGCAGGUUUCUGCUCAGCGACCCAAGGGGACUCCGAGACAUAGCCAAGAUCAUACAGGAUUAGCGGUUGUUGAAGAUGGGGAAGAGGUGGAGCAAGCCAGCCACUUGAAAUUCUCGAGAAGUCGUCUUAUUGCUCCUCUUGGGAUACCAUUUUGCUCAGCUAGUAUAGGUGGGGCCCGGAAAGCUUUGUCAGUGCCAAGCAAUGAUAAUAUGGUUAGCUAUUUUGACAGUGGUGGGUUGUUCGAUACAGAGAUCCUGAGGAAACGGAUGGAGCAGAUUGCUGGAGGACAGGGCCUUGGGGGUGUUUCAAUGGAAUGUGCUAAUAUGCUAAAUAAUAUGUUGGAUGUGUAUUUGAAACGGUUAAUCAAGUCGUGUGUUGAGUUGGUGGGAGCAAGGUCCAAAAAUGAACCAAAAAAGCAUCACCCUGUGAAGCAGUCAAUUCAAAGUAAGAUUGUCAACGGCAUGUGGCCUAGUAACCACUUACAUAUGCAAAGUAGCAGUGGGCCCAUCGAAGUUAUUCAGGAACAGAGACCCCUUUGCUCAAUAUCUUUGCUUGAUUUCAAGGUUGCAAUGGAGCUAAAUCCACAGCAACUUGGAGAAGACUGGCCAUUGCUUCUGGAGAAAAUUUGCAUGCAGACGUUCGAGGAAUAAAAAACCAUACAAACAGCUAUUUUGUAAGCUAUGGUCAAAUCAGUUAAUUAUGCACUGAAGGAUGUGAUAACCAUGUUUGGACUCUGUUGAUGCAGCCAUUUCGCUUCUCAAGGCCAUGUUGAGCCAGAUGACUCCUAUUUGGAUAAUGCUUAGACCCUUGCAAGAUGAGAUGAGGGCUUGAGCAUGAAUGAUAUGUGAUCACAUGCUGCAUUCCUUGCACAUCCAUCAGAAAUUCUUUUAUAGCAGCCAAUCAAAGGGUACUUCAAACAGAAUGCUCAUUUUUGGUUGCUCUCUGUUGUAUGACUAGCAUUCAUGUUGGCUGUCUUCCGCAGUCACUGAAGAACUUGAGCUUUUUCGUGUAAUUUACAGCCACUGGAGGGGAAAUCUAAGAAAAUUUUGCAGGGACACUGUUGUGUAAGAGCUGCAGUUUGCUCUGUAACCAUGAUAUGUAGAGCCAUCCAUUUAGCACCUUUGUUUCUGAGAAUGUGAAACAGAAAGAAGACGACUAGAGUGGUUGGUAUUUGAAAUAAGUUGACCUUUCAAACGGUGCCAUAGGUGUAUCUUCAUCGUCAACCUUGAACUCUCUAUUUGGUAAAGGCUGGCGUUGGAUUUGUGAUCUGCGGCCCAGAGAUCGACCUAGCCUUCUUGGGGAUCAAAUAGGAAGGCAGAUUAUGCUGUAAUCAACCAUCUAUCAAUAGCCACAAAAAAUAGUGAUGAUUUGUAAUUGUGGAAAAAGGCUGAUCUGACUACCCAAUUUCCAAGGUCAUUGGAGCAUCCUAGAGGAUUCACUGAGCAACCUAGGGAUGAUAGUGAAUUUGCUCUAUGGAAAGCUGAAAUAAAGCGAUCAAUGGAUGUACUAAUUUCUUUACAUCAAAAAUAUCAGAUCGAGGUGGCAAUUGUUGAAGAUGGGAAGAGUUUGAGCGGUUCAGCCACUGAAAUUUCACCAGAAGUCCUCCCUUGGGUGUUUCAUUUUGCUCAAGCCAAUGCAGUUGCCGAACUUCUCUUGUAACAAGCAGUGAACAUUUGUAUAAAUUGCUGGAUUAUCUAACAUGCAGACAUGCAAGAAACAUAUGAAGUAGACUGCAGCAGUUCACGUCCUCACUGCCCUAGAACUCAAUGGUUAGACCGACUUGUUCAACACUAUACUUUGAUUCUUCCCUUAUGAAAGGAUGGUUUCUAUCUAAUUUGCUAAUAUGUUGAAUCAGAUAUUGGAUGUGCACUUGGAUCGACUGAUCAAAUUUUGCAGGGUCAGUGGGAUCAAGAUGUUCAGAAAAUCAGUCACAAGCUUAUGAAUGGCACGUGGCAUCUAAACACUCCUAUAUGCAAAGUGGUAGUGGGAUCAACAAGUUAUGCAGGGGUGACGAAUCGAUUGCUAACUAUAUUUGUUUGAUCUUAGAGUUGGAAGUGCAACCUAUGCUGCUGGAACUUGGGGGCAAGCUGACCAGUGCCGGUACGGAAGAAAAUUUACAUCAAUGCAUUCAUGGAAUGAAACAUCCACAUGGAUUUUGGUUUUCUCCAAGCUAUAAUUGACUCAGUCUGUUCUGGUUUUGAAGGCUUGGAAAUUGUUGGUGGGCAUCAUUUUACAGCCAGUUUCCUACUUGUGGCAAUGGUGUUCCAGAUGACUCUGAUUAGGAUAAAACUCUGACCCUGCAAAGAUAAAAUGUGUGUUUGACCAUGAAAAAGCUGCAUUCUGCUGUUACAGAAACUGUACCCUGGCAAGCGAUUGAUGGCGCUCACACACGCCUCUGAAUCAACCUUCUCAUAAUUCUAUGUUAAGUGUUGGCCCUCUUCUGCCAGCACAACAAAUCUUGAGCUUUUUGUACAGUUUAUGAUGAGGGGUAAGUUUGAUGUGUAAGAACCACAAUGUUAUUCCAUUUUCUAAGUCUGAAACAUUAUCGAGUCCUUGUAUACUUAAUAGGCUAUAACAUCCAUUGAAUUAUCUUGA
RNA transcript from Vitis vinifera (wine grape), 3886 nucleotides. RefSeq lists it as uncharacterized. The record is from RefSeq and is a predicted model, not a curated record. NCBI's taxonomy places the organism in Eukaryota, Viridiplantae, Streptophyta, Magnoliopsida, Vitales, Vitaceae. The transcript has 4 exons.